Molecule: ribosomal RNA, 519 nt
Filed under: Rinodina sophodes
Lineage: Eukaryota; Fungi; Ascomycota; Lecanoromycetes; Caliciales; Physciaceae
Description: partial small subunit ribosomal RNA
Rfam family: Bacterial small subunit ribosomal RNA
Source: RNAcentral
UAUGUGUCUUGACCAAAUUACGUGCCAGCAGUCGCGGUAAUACCGUAGAAGACUAGUGUUAUUCAUCUUUAAUAGGUUUAAAGGGUACCUAGACGGUAAAUCAAGUCCGAAAAGGAUACUAGUUUGCUAGAGUUUAAUAUGAGGGGGCACUAAAGUACUGAUAAGUGUAGAGAUGAAAUUCUGUGAUACAAUAUACGGCACUGGCAAAGGCGAAAGCAUCUCAUUAUGUAAUAACUGACGUUGAGGGACGAAGGCUAUGUGUAGCAAAAAGGAUUAGAUACCCAAGUAGUCUUAGCAGAAAAUUAUGAAUGUCAUAGGAUGGAAAGAGUAAAAAACAAUUUUUUUUCUAUAAAUGAAAGUGUAAGCAUUUCACCUCGAGAGUAAUUUGGCAACAUUGGAACUGAAAUCAUUAGACCGUUUCUGAAACAAGUAGUGAAGUAUGUUGUUUAAUUUGAUGGUCCGCAAAAAACCUUACCACAAUUUGAAUAAAAAUUUAUUUUUUUUACAARCGSAUGCACG